This is a non-coding RNA of Xyrichtys novacula (pearly razorfish), 516 nucleotides long. The record is from the annotation of a GenBank genome assembly. NCBI's taxonomy places the organism in Eukaryota, Metazoa, Chordata, Actinopteri, Labriformes, Labridae.
AUUAGGUUUUGGGGCUAGGGUAAGGUUUGAGGUUUUUGGCAUUAGGGUUAAAAUCACUGUCCAAAACCUUUGUAGGAACUCUUUUCCAACCUUUUGGAGUUAGUUAGACCAAAAAAAAAGAAAAAUGAAAAAAAUAUAUUUUGGGUUUUCGGGCUUCCUGAAGGCAAUACCCGGGAAUCAGUUUCUGGGGCUUUGGAAAGGUUUAAGGUUUUUGGCGUUAGGGUUAAAAUCACUGUCCAAAACCUUUGUAGGAACUCUUUUCCAAGCUUUUGAGUUAGUUAGACCAAAAAAAAAUGAAAAAUGAAAUAAAAAAUAUUUGGAUUGCAAAAAUAUAUCAAGAUCCAAAGAUGGUGUGCGCACUUGUCUGUGGUCAUUUACCAUUAUAAUGAAUGGGAGGCGCAGUUUCUACCAAAACACUUGCUGCAGACAAACUUCAUGACCUAUAUGAAAAAAGUCUGGACCAUGAGUGAGGGCACAAACACAGCUAGUAUAUAUCCAAAUGGCAAGUUGCUCCUC